This is a non-coding RNA of Manis javanica (Malayan pangolin), 279 nucleotides long. The record is from RefSeq and is a predicted model, not a curated record. Lineage: Eukaryota; Metazoa; Chordata; Mammalia; Pholidota; Manidae.
GAAGUUUUUAGUGUUAGAAGAUGUUCAGAGCUACCCUGAUGGGUGCACAGGAGUUAGCAAAAGAAGAGUGUGGAAAGGGGAUCCAGGAAGAGGAUCAGCACGUGGAAGCCUCAGAGGGAGGUGGCUUAAGCGAUUCACACUAGCAUUUUAUAGAAAUCAUCAUCUCAUGGAACGUAAGCACUACCAUCGAUAAGAUCAUCUGGAACAAAUGAAGAGUGGGGAAGGAAGCAAGAUGUAGGAGAAAGAAGAUGCGCCGUGAAUUCAGACAGACACCUGGGC